GCUUGCAUGUCGUGAUUCAUGGAUGAGAACCACUAUUGAACAAUGUAAAACUACAACCAAAUAAAAAUGGCAUAAUAAAUCCUCACCGGAAUGAUUGAAUAAAAUUCAUUUGGAAUUGGAUCUUGUUGAAUCCCUGUGCUCCAGACAAUUUCUGAUGCUUUCUAGGUGACAAAAUAUCAUUACCAGAAUGUCUAGGGGGUUCUUUAUUGUUUAAGGCCGAUGAAACAGAUCCAAAUUUUUCAACAAAGUCAGAAGGCCACCAUGAAACAUUAGAGGACCCUUGCUCUGACGGGCCUGCAUCUUCUUGUGUCUCGUCCAUGAUCUUUUAUGUUUGGAAAUUAAAACCAUCUUGCCACAGUUCUUAACCCAUAAGAGACAUAUCAAGCUAAAGAUAGUCCUUUAAUUGCAAAUCAUUGAAAUAUAAACUUCAGCAGCUUCAAUUGUACCAAGCUGCAGCCUGAAUGAGUCAUAACAAAAUAUGAAAAUGAGAAAUCAACAUUACCAAACAAAAAGAAAUAGAAUUUUCAAAAUCGCAUAACAAAUGAAAAGCAUGUACAAGUACAACUAAGAGGCAAUAAAAUCACCAUAUAAAAAUGAGGCUUGCAAUUUUGUUAGAAUUGCCUCAUCCCCAUCCAUAUAUCAUAUAUAAAUCUGUUAAGGUUGUAAAAUCGUUCAUUGAUCCAUUAGCCAUCACGUUCAAUUAUUUAUGAAAAAGUAAAAUUUCAAAAGUGGACAUUUAUUUCUUAAUGGAGGUCAUAUUUAUUAAUUAGGCCAUGCAUGAACUGAACUUUUCAAAUACAAUUUUUAUCAUAUAAAUGGACUAAUGGUUUGGUUUUGACCGAUCCAUUUUCACUAAUAAAAAAAUCCAUAUUUGGAGCUCAUAGGAUAUAAGUAAGCAAAGACAAUGUAAGUCAAAAUCAUCCACAUUUACAACAGAUGAUACUAAAUGUGUGGGGCAGGUAAUCUUCCAUUACUUUCUGAAAGAAAGAAACCACAUGAUAAGAGGUUGACUAUUGAGAAUUUCUAUAUAUCAUUUCCAACAGGGAUCCAUUUUCCAUUAAUGAAAAUUGUACAUGACGCAUCCUUGUACAUCAAUGAUGCAGAAUACUGAUUCAUGGUCUAGAAAUACAAGGAAAACAAAAACUAGGUUAAAUGACAGAAUUUAUCUUCAGUAUUGCAUAAGUGGACAAGGUUUAUACUGCAUAUCCAUGAAGUAAUCAAAUAACUUAAGCAUUCUUGUAAUGGACAAACAUCUUAUGUUCACAUCCUUGCCCAUAAUGCUCUGGGGAUUUACAUAAAUGCACAAGUUAAACUAUGAUGUGGUAAGAUAGAACUACACAGGUUACUGAUGUCAAAUUAUGCUAACAUCCAAGUCAUGUUAUUUAUUCAAUUGUAACUCCAAAUGCACCAUUGCACCAUCAUCUAUAAAUAUAUAUUAAUUUUUUGAACUUGAGUUUUACAAUUUAUCUAAACCUAUUACAAAUUAAUCAAUCAUUUUUAAGUACAAAUACAAUUAGCAUCAAUUUGUCUCUUCUAAACCUACAUUAAAACAGCAAAAAGCAAGUCCAAAAAAAGUAACAUAGAAUAACUUUAAAAAAAAAAAAAACUCACCUCUACACUGCAGAAGGCCAGAAGUAGAACAAAAGUCAGCAGUCAGGGACGGGUUGGGGCUGUUCCACCGUUGCAGAGGCAGGCCACCGGCGAGGAGAUGGUGGCCGCAUGAGCAGGGCUCCGGCACAAGCAGAGCAGACCCGGCAGAGGAGGGAGCCAACACGAGGGCAACAACGGAGGAAGAAGAGACAGAGGAGGCACGAAGCGGAGGCGGAUGCAGAGAAGGCGUGCCACAGCGGAGCCAACACGGCCGGGACGACACAGACGGAGGCGAGCAGGGGCGCGGACGACGAUCAACAACUGGCGGCACAGAGACGAGGCAGAGUUUCCGGCGAGAGGCGCGGAGACGAGGCGGUGACUGUGUGGUGAAGGUGAGUGAGGUAGAGAGGUGAGAGUGUGAGAGCCUGUGAGAGUGAGAGUGAGAGCGCGACUGAGAAGAGGAGGAGGGGAACGAAGGGAACGGAAAAGGAGGAUUGAAUCCUGGUAGAGGUUAAGGUUGGUGUAGAGUGAGAGAAUGGAGGAGUUGUCUGAGUGCCAAGAUCCUUUGGUCUUCACAAUGCGGGCAUGGAGUUUUUUGGCCUCGCGCACGCAACUCAUGCUUGCAUGUCGUGAUUCAUGGAUGAGAAUCACUAUUGAACAAUGUAAAACUACAACCAAAUAAAAAUGGCAUAAUAAAUCCUCACCGGAAUGAUUGAAUAAAAUUCAUUUGGAAUUGGAUCUUGUUGAAUCCCUGUGCUCCAGACAAUUUCUGAUGCUUUCUAGGUGACAAAAUAUCAUUACCAGAAUGUCUACGGGGUUCUUUAUUGUUUAAGGCCGAUGAAACAGAUCCAAAUUUUUCAACAAAGUCAGAAGGCCACCAUCAAACAUUAGAGGACCCUUGGUCUGAUGGGUCUGCAUCUUCUUGUGUUUCGUCCAUGAUCUUAUAUGUUUGGAAAUUAAAUCCAUCUUGCCACAGUUCUUAACCCAUAAGAGACAUAUCAAGCUAAAGAUAGUCCUUUAAUUGCAAAUCAUUGAAAUAUAAACUUCAGCAGCUUCAAUUGUACCAAGCUGCAGCC
This 2666-nucleotide long non-coding RNA is filed under the name Arachis ipaensis. RNAcentral describes it as "long non-coding RNA (AIPA_LNC001903)". The record is from RNAcentral. Lineage: Eukaryota; Viridiplantae; Streptophyta; Magnoliopsida; Fabales; Fabaceae.